CGACCGGCGCACGGGUGAGUAACACGUAUCCAACCUGCCGAUGACUCGGGGAUAGCCUUUCGAAAGAAAGAUUAAUACCCGAUGGCAUAGUUCUUCCGCAUGGUAGAACUAUUAAAGAAUUUCGGUCAUCGAUGGGGAUGCGUUCCAUUAGCUUGUUGGCGGGGUAACGGCCCACCAAGGCAUCGAUGGAUAGGGGUUCUGAGAGGAAGGUCCCCCACAUUGGAACUGAGACACGGACCAGACUCCUACGGAAGGCAGCAG
This 261-nucleotide ribosomal RNA is filed under the name uncultured bacterium. Its description in RNAcentral is "partial 16S ribosomal RNA". It matches the Rfam family "Bacterial small subunit ribosomal RNA", at positions 92 to 354 of the family's 1533-position model. The record is from RNAcentral.